AAAGUUGUCACAAAAUUGGAAGAAGCAACUGUUUAACAAAAACACAGGUCUCUGCUAAUUCGCAAGAAGAUGUAUAGGGGCUGACGCGUGCCCGGUGCUGCAAGGUUAAGGGGAGGCGUCUUGGCGCUGAACUCAAGCCCCAGUAAACGGCGGCCGUA
This 158-nucleotide ribosomal RNA is filed under the name Pelagomonas calceolata. RNAcentral describes it as "partial Bacterial large subunit ribosomal RNA". It matches the Rfam family "Bacterial large subunit ribosomal RNA", at positions 1772 to 1938 of the family's 2925-position model. Lineage: Eukaryota; Pelagophyceae; Pelagomonadales; Pelagomonadaceae. The record is from RNAcentral.